Molecule: long non-coding RNA, 2326 nt
Filed under: Taeniopygia guttata (zebra finch)
Lineage: Eukaryota; Metazoa; Chordata; Aves; Passeriformes; Estrildidae
Description: lncRNA (ENSTGUG00000021894.1)
Source: RNAcentral
CGGGGAAUGAGGCAGCGCGUGAGUCAUGCGGGGGUGGGCGUGCGGGACGGGGCGGCAGUCCCUCGGAGGUAACCCCACUGCAGGUUCCCGAAAGAACCUCGCAAAGCGCGGAGAGUGGACUGGGUUUGAGACCUUUUGGAGAAUGAUGGAGCCUCUGACAGCACUCAGAAGAUGAGCUUCUGGUUCUUCUGUUAGGACCAUAAAUGAACUCAGAACAGAGUUGCAAGAUGGGAUGCCCAACAUGACUUGCGUGCAUGUUAGCCUAGUGAAAGGACUUGUGAAGUAAAAUAACCAUAAAUCAGCAAACCACAAUUAUGAAUCAGUGAAAUGUAACAAAAGUAGAGCUCAUGAGGAAGAAUGUCAGAGAAAAUGCUUCAUUUAUGUAAUUUCUAAGUAUUUCAAAAUGUAGUUUUUGUGCAGGUCUGCUAGACACAUACAGUUCCAGUGAUUUCUGCUUUAUCUUGUCUGCUGUUUCCUCUAGUCUUCUGGAUGUCUGAUGACCUUCAGGUUCUCUGUGGCCUGGGUGGAGCUCCCUGUCUCCAGGGAGUGUGGUGUGGUGUGCCAUGACCAAAUGAAAAUCUCCUCUUAAUACUUCUCAUUAAAAAUAUAGCUGUAGCAAUAGAAAACAGAGAUGGGAGAAAGUCUAAGGCUCAUAAUAUUUUUAAAUUUUGCCAAUUAUUUAGUCUUAUGGUGAAAAUCUUCCACACAUUAUGAGGUUUAGUCUGCUAUCCAUAUUUGUGUUAUCCUUUUCAUGGGCUGCUAAAAGGUACUUUGGAGGAAAGAAGUGAUUCCAUAGUCUAAAUGUGCACUUGAGGCCAGGAAAGUAAUUACCAAUCCCUUUUAAUAAAAAUGUGCUCUGUGUGGACAUAACCAACGUUUGAAAUCCAAGGUUGGUGCUUUGAGCCUGGCUUGACUGUUUAACUGUGGUGAACUGCACUUGUUUCUGAGUGUCAGUGUUUUGAGCUCAACCACACCUUCCUUUCUCCCACAAGCUACCUGCCUGCUGUGCUAGGAUUCACACACAGGAGUGUGCACUUUCUAUUUUAAACCUCUAAAGCUUUUCAUCAAAAAGUUAGACAACAGAAUUCUAAUUGAAAACUUAUGAUUUAGGGACCCUUUAUAGGCUAUUAUGGCCGGUAAGCUAAUAAGGAAAGAUAUGAAAGCAAACGGCAGGGCAAUUCAGUGUUAAUUUAUUUGACAUCUAUAUCUUAGGUAUGAUUUAUGAGAAUAUUUCAUAGUACAAUUAUCUUAUUGCAUAUCUUCAUAAAAGGAAACUGUAAUAUGAGGCAUUCAAAAUACUCUACAAAAUGGGUUGAGAAUACUAAAGAGGCAUGUAAGUUUUAAUCUUUUCAAGGGUAAGUACAUUUUAAAUUAAUCACAUAUGGAUUAAUUAGCUUUUGUUUAUGACAAUAAAAUGCUAAAUUAAAUGUAAGUAGUAGGGAGUGAUAUGAAGUUCAAAGAAAGGUAGUGACUUUACCUCUCAGUAAUAUUUUCAGUGAAGAGUUUAAUUAGAUUAUAACUUGGAGUUUUAUCACAAGGUUGACACUAUGAAUAUGCAGAAUCCAGUAAUGUCCAUGAUGCACACACAUAAGUGAGUAACACAUAUAUAUUUACAGGAUGAGAAUAUUCCUGUAAACUUUUUCCUCUGAAGGAAAACUAAUCAAACUGAAUCUGGUAUUUUGUAACAUAUUUUGCAAAGACAGAAUUAAUGUCAUUCUGUAAAACUCUUCAUUUAACUUUUGAAGAGAUUUAUGGCAAUUUUCUGUGUGACUGUGUGAUAUUUAGUUCCAGGAGGCCGAUUAAAAACAGAGGUUUGAUUUUAAUCAUGUAGUCCUUCCCUGAUCUCAUGCAAAGGAACUCUUCACUUUGUUUGAGUUGUGAUUAAUGCCUUUUGUGCAGUUACCUGAGUUACAAACCAGAAAGUGAAGAAGCUGUGGGGGAAUAGUAUCUGAAGCGCAGUGAUCUAAGUAUUAAAUAAUUGCUACUUUUAUGGAUCAUUGCUUCUCAAACAUUGUAUUAAAAUAGAUAGAAAUUACAGUACAGAAAAGAAACUCAUGGAAAUAGUACUCCUGUUAAUAUUUACUCUCCAGGUUGAUCUUUUUGUUCUGUUUUUUUUUUUUUUUUUUUUUUUUUUUUUUUUUGAGUGUUAGGAAAAAGUUACAGGUAAUCUACUGGCCAUCUUGAGUGGACCCCAAAUAUCAGCAUUUAACUCACUCUUUAAUAAAAUAAUCCAUGAAACAAUGAGAGAUUUUUAGUACUCCACCCUUCCCUGCCUGUUCAGAGCAAUCUUCUUGGCUAAUUUUACUUAAUCUCUACCUAACAAUUA